UACGUUCCCGGGCCUUGUACACACCGCCCGUCACACCACGAAAGUCGGCAAUACCCGAAGCCGGUGACCCAACCCGAAAGGGAGGGAGCCGUCGAAGGUAGGGUCGAUGAUUGGGGUGAAGUCGUAACAAGGUACCC
This 137-nucleotide ribosomal RNA is filed under the name uncultured bacterium. Its description in RNAcentral is "partial 16S ribosomal RNA". It matches the Rfam family "Bacterial small subunit ribosomal RNA", at positions 1367 to 1501 of the family's 1533-position model. The record is from RNAcentral.